Molecule: transfer RNA, 75 nt
Filed under: Mesorhizobium sp.
Lineage: Bacteria; Pseudomonadati; Pseudomonadota; Alphaproteobacteria; Hyphomicrobiales; Phyllobacteriaceae
Description: tRNA-Pro
Source: RNAcentral
GGGAAUCUUUGCCCUUGCUGGUAGCGCACCUCGUUCGGGACGAGGGGGUCGCAGGUUCAAAUCCUGGCAUUCCUU